AGAGUUUGAUCCUGGCUCAGGAUGAACGCUGGCGGCGUGCUUAACACAUGCAAGUCGAACGGUGAAGCCAAGCUUGCUUGGUGGAUCAGUGGCGAACGGGUGAGUAACACGUGAGCAACCUGCCCUGGACUCUGGGCAUAAGCGCUGGAAACGGCGUCUAAUACUGGAUAUGAGCUCUCAUCGCAUGGUGGGGGUUGGAAAGAUUUUUUGGUGCUGGGAUGGGCUCGCGGCCUAUCAGCUUGUUGGUGAGGUAAUGGCUCACCAAGGCGUCGACGGGUAGCCGGCCUGAGAGGG
Molecule: ribosomal RNA, 294 nt
Filed under: Microbacterium trichothecenolyticum
Lineage: Bacteria; Bacillati; Actinomycetota; Actinomycetes; Micrococcales; Microbacteriaceae
Description: partial 16S ribosomal RNA
Rfam family: Bacterial small subunit ribosomal RNA
Source: RNAcentral